CAAUAGCGUAUAUUAAAGUUGUUGCAGUUAAAAAGCUCGUAGUUGAAUUUCUGGUCAAUUUUAGUUUCGGCUUCGGUCGGUCUAAGGUUGGCCAUCCGUCUGCAAGCUAUUCUCGUCCUUCACUGUGUCGGUUUAGCGAGCUGACAUUUUACUUUGAAAAAUUAGAGUGUUUCAGGCAGGCUUUUGCCCGAAUACAUUAGCAUGGAAUAAUGGAAUUGGACUCUGGUCCAUUUGGUUGGUUAUUGGAUCUGAGUAAUGGUUAAUAGGGACAGUUGGGGGCAUUCAUAUUCCAUUGUCAGAGGUGAAAUUCUUGGAUUAACGGAAGAUGAACUAACUGCGAAAGCAUCUGCCAAGGAUGUUUUCAUUUGAUCAAGAACGAAAGUUAGGGGAUCGAAGACGAUUAGAUACCAU
This 411-nucleotide ribosomal RNA is filed under the name uncultured eukaryote. RNAcentral's name for it is "bacterial SSU rRNA". It matches the Rfam family "Eukaryotic small subunit ribosomal RNA", at positions 592 to 1018 of the family's 1831-position model. The record is from RNAcentral.